UUAGCUCAGUUGGUUAGAGCGUGGUGCUAAUAACGCCAAGGUCACGGGUUCUUAGUUGACGUUAUCAACCUUCUACUGUAAGAACAA
This is a non-coding RNA of Merluccius polli (Benguela hake), 87 nucleotides long. NCBI's taxonomy places the organism in Eukaryota, Metazoa, Chordata, Actinopteri, Gadiformes, Merlucciidae. The record is from the annotation of a GenBank genome assembly.